Molecule: ribosomal RNA, 688 nt
Filed under: uncultured bacterium
Lineage: Bacteria
Description: bacterial SSU rRNA
Rfam family: Bacterial small subunit ribosomal RNA
Source: RNAcentral
UGGGAUACCACUUGGAAACAGGUGCUAAUACCGGAUAACAACAAUAGCUGCAUGGCUAUUGCUUAAAAGGCGGCGAAAGCUGUCGCUAAAGGAUGGACCCGCGGUGCAUUAGCUAGUUGGUAAGGUAAUGGCUUACCAAGGCGACGAUGCAUAGCCGAGUUGAGAGACUGAUCGGCCACAUUGGGACUGAGACACGGCCCAAACUCCUACGGGAGGCAGCAGUAGGGAAUCUUCCACAAUGGGCGAAAGCCUGAUGGAGCAACGCCGCGUGAGUGAAGAAGGUUUUCGGAUCGUAAAGCUCUGUUGUUGGUGAAGAAGGAUAGAGGUAGUAACUGGCCCCUAUUUGACGGUAAUCAACCAGAAAGUCACGGCUAACUACGUGCCAGCAGCCGCGGUAAUACGUAGGUGGCAAGCGUUGUCCGGAUUUAUUGGGCGUAAAGCGAGCGCAGGCGGAAAGAUAAGUCUGAUGUGAAAGCCCCCGGCUUAACCGAGGAAUUGCAUCGGAAACUGUGUUUCUUGAGUGCAGAAGAGGAGAGUGGAACUCCAUGUGUAGCGGUGGAAUGCGUAGAUAUAUGGAAGAACACCAGUGGCGAAGGCGGCUCUCUGGUCUGUAACUGACGCUGAGGCUCGAAAGCAUGGGUAGCGAACAGGAUUAGAUACCCUGGUAGUCCAUGCCGUAAACGAUGAG